GAUGAAGAACGCAGCGAAAUGCGAUAAGUAGUGUGAAUUGCAGAAUUCAGUGAAUCAUCGAAUCUUUGAACGCACAUUGCGCCCCUUGGUAUUCCAUGGGGCAUGCCUGUUCGAGCGUCAUUUGUACCCUCAAGCUUUGCUUGGUGUUGGGUGUUUGUCCCGCGUUGCGCGUGGACUCGCCUUAAAGCGAUUGGCAGCCGGCAUAUUGGCCUUGGAGCGCAGCACAUUUUGCGCUUCUAGUCAUGAAUGUUGGCGUCCAUUAAGCCUAUACAUUUGCUCUUGACCUCGGAUCAGGUAGGGACACCCGCUGAACUUAAGCAUAUCAAUAAGCGGAGGA
This 337-nucleotide unclassified non-coding RNA is filed under the name soil metagenome. RNAcentral describes it as "partial contains 5.8S ribosomal RNA, internal transcribed spacer 2, and large subunit ribosomal RNA". The stretch from base 1 to 120 matches the Rfam family "5.8S ribosomal RNA", at positions 35 to 154 of the family's 154-position model. The record is from RNAcentral.